Molecule: ribosomal RNA, 408 nt
Filed under: uncultured microorganism
Description: partial 16S ribosomal RNA
Rfam family: Bacterial small subunit ribosomal RNA
Source: RNAcentral
CAGCCGCCGCGGUAAUACGUAGGGGGCGAGCGUUGUCCGGAAUUAUUGGGCGUAAAGGGCGUGUAGGCGGUCUGGGAAGUCUGAUGUGAAAAUCCGCGGCUCAACCGCGGAAGGCCAUUGGAAACUCUCGGACUUGAGAGCAGGAGAGGAGAGCGGAAUUCCACGUGUAGCGGUGAAAUGCGUAGAGAUGUGGAGGAACACCAGUGGCGAAGGCGGCUCUCUGGCCUGGCUCUGACGCUGAGGCGCGAAAGCGUGGGGAGCAAACAGGAUUAGAUACCCUGGUAGUCCACGCCGUAAACGAUGAGUGCUAGGUGUUAGUGGGGAUACCCAUUAGUGCCGAAGGAAACCCAAUAAGCACUCCGCCUGGGGAGUACGGCUGCAAGGCUGAAACUUAAAGGAAUUGGCGGG